RNAcentral lists this ribosomal RNA (1346 nucleotides) under uncultured bacterium. RNAcentral describes it as "bacterial SSU rRNA". It matches the Rfam family "Bacterial small subunit ribosomal RNA", at positions 28 to 1381 of the family's 1533-position model. The record is from RNAcentral.
GACGAACGCUGGCGGCGUGCUUAACACAUGCAAGUCGAACGGAAAGGCCCUGCUUUUGUGGGGUGCUCGAGUGGCGAACGGGUGAGUAACACGUGAGUAACCUGCCCUUGACUUUGGGAUAACUUCAGGAAACUGGGGCUAAUACCGGAUAGGAGCUCCUGCUGCAUGGUGGGGGUUGGAAAGUUUCGGCGGUUGGGGAUGGACUCGCGGCUUAUCAGCUUGUUGGUGGGGUAGUGGCUUACCAAGGCUUUGACGGGUAGCCGGCCUGAGAGGGUGACCGGCCACAUUGGGACUGAGAUACGGCCCAGACUCCUACGGGAGGCAGCAGUGGGGAAUAUUGCACAAUGGGCGGAAGCCUGAUGCAACAACGCCGCGUGCGGGAUGACGGCCUUCGGGUUGUAAACCGCUUUCGCCUGUGACGAAGCGUGAGUGACGGUAAUGGGUAAAGAAGCACCGGCUAACUACGUGCCAGCAGCCGCGGUGAUACGUAGGGUGCGAGCGUUGUCCGGAUUUAUUGGGCGUAAAGGGCUCGUAGGUGGUUGAUCGCGUCGGAAGUGUAAUCUUGGGGCUUAACCCUGAGCGUGCUUUCGAUACGGGUUGACUUGAGGAAGGUAGGGGAGAAUGGAAUUCCUGGUGGAGCGGUGGAAUGCGCAGAUAUCAGGAGGAACACCAGUGGCGAAGGCGGUUCUCUGGGCCUUUCCUGACGCUGAGGAGCGAAAGCGUGGGGAGCGAACAGGCUUAGAUACCCUGGUAGUCCACGCUGUAAACGGUGGGUACUAGGUGUGGGGUCCAUUCCACGGGUUCCGUGCCGUAGCUAACGCUUUAAGUACCCCGCCUGGGGAGUACGGCCGCAAGGCUAAAACUCAAAGGAAUUGACGGGGCCCCGCACAAGCGGCGGAGCAUGCGGAUUAAUUCGAUGCAACGCGUAGAACCUUACCUGGGUUUGACAUGGAUCGGGAGUGCUCAGAGAUGGGUGUGCCUCUUUUGGGGUCGGUUCACAGGUGGUGCAUGCCUGUCGUCAGCUCGUGUCGUGAGAUGUUGGGUUAAGUCCCGCAACGAGCGCAACCCUUGUUCACUGUUGCCAGCACGUUAUGGUGGGGACUCAGUGGAGACCGCCGGGGUCAACUCGGAGGAAGGUGGGGAUGACGUCAAGUCCUCAUGCCCCUUAUGUCCAGGGCUUCACGCAUGCUACAAUGGCUGGUACAGAGAGUGGCGAGCCUGUGAGGGUGAGCGAAUCUCGGAAAGCCGGUCUCAGUUCGGAUUGGGGUCUGCAACUCGACCUCAUGAAGUCGGAGUCGCUAGUAAUCGCAAAUCAGCAACGCUGCGGUGAAUACGUUCCCGGGGCA